GUACAAAGAGUUGCGAUACCGUGAGGUGGAGCCAAUCUCAUAAAGCCGGUCUCAGUUCGGAUUGGAGUCUGCAACUCGACUCCAUGAAGUUGGAAUCGCUAGUAAUCGCGGAUCAGCAUGCCGCGGUGAAUACGUUCCCGGGCCUU
RNAcentral lists this ribosomal RNA (146 nucleotides) under uncultured Geobacter sp. RNAcentral describes it as "partial 16S ribosomal RNA". It matches the Rfam family "Bacterial small subunit ribosomal RNA", at positions 1237 to 1382 of the family's 1533-position model. The record is from RNAcentral. Lineage: Bacteria; Pseudomonadati; Thermodesulfobacteriota; Desulfuromonadia; Geobacterales; Geobacteraceae.